This 484-nucleotide ribosomal RNA is filed under the name uncultured bacterium. RNAcentral's name for it is "partial 16S ribosomal RNA". It matches the Rfam family "Bacterial small subunit ribosomal RNA", at positions 30 to 507 of the family's 1533-position model. The record is from RNAcentral.
AUUGAACGCUGGCGGCAGGCCUAACACAUGCAAGUCGAGCGGAUGAAGGGAGCUUGCUCCUGGAUUCAGCGGCGGACGGGUGAGUAAUGCCUAGGAAUCUGCCUGGUAGUGGGGGAUAACGUCCGGAAACGGGCGCUAAUACCGCAUACGUCCUGAGGGAGAAAGUGGGGGAUCUUCGGACCUCACGCUAUCAGAUGAGCCUAGGUCGGAUUAGCUAGUUGGUGGGGUAAAGGCCUACCAAGGCGACGAUCCGUAACUGGUCUGAGAGGAUGAUCAGUCACACUGGAACUGAGACACGGUCCAGACUCCUACGGGAGGCGGCAGUGGGGAAUAUUGGACAAUGGGCGAAAGCCUGACCCAGCCAUGCCGCGUGUGUGAAGAAGGUCUUCGGAUUGUAAAGCACUUUAAGUUGGGAGGAAGGGCAGUAAGUUAAUACCUUGCUGUUUUGACGUUACCAACAGAAUAAGCACCGGCUAACUUCGUG